GAUGAAGAACGCAGCGAAAUGCGAUAAGUAAUGUGAAUUGCAGAAUUCAGUGAAUCAUCGAAUCUUUGAACGCACAUUGCGCCCCUUGGUAUUCCAUGGGGCAUGCCUGUUCGAGCGUCAUUUGUACCCUCAAGCUUUGCUUGGUGUUGGGUGUUUGUCCCGCGUUGCGCGUGGACUCGCCUUAAAGCGAUUGGCAGCCGGCAUAUUGGCCUUGGAGCGCAGCACAUUUUGCGCUUCUAGUCAUGAAUGUUGGCGUCCAUUAAGCCUAUACAUUUGCUCUUGACCUCGGAUCAGGUAGGGAUACCCGCUGAACUUAAGCAUAUCAAUAAGCGGAGGA
This 337-nucleotide unclassified non-coding RNA is filed under the name soil metagenome. RNAcentral's name for it is "partial contains 5.8S ribosomal RNA, internal transcribed spacer 2, and large subunit ribosomal RNA". The stretch from base 1 to 120 matches the Rfam family "5.8S ribosomal RNA", at positions 35 to 154 of the family's 154-position model. The record is from RNAcentral.